AGCAGCCGCGGUAAUUCCAGCUCCAAUAGCGUAUAUUAAAGUUGUUGCAGUUAAAAAGCUCGUAGUUGAAUUUCGGGAUCAAUCUAUCGGUCGUGCAAUAGUACGUACUGAUUUUAUUGAUUCCUACCUUCUGAUGAACUAUGAUGUCAUUAAUUUGGUGUCAUAGGGAAUCAGGACUGUUACUUUAGAAAAAUUAGAGUGUUUAAAGCAGGCUCACGCUUGAAUACAUUAGCAUGGAAUAACGAAAUAGGACGUUUGAUUCUAUUUUGUUGGUUUCUAGGAUCGACGUAAUGAUUAAUAGGGAUAGUUGGGGGCAUUAGUAUUCAAUUGUCAGAGGUGAAAUUCUUGGAUUUAUUGAAGACUAACUACUGCGAAAGCAUUUGCCAAGGAUGUUUUCAUUAAUCAAGAACGAAAGUUAGGGGAUCGAAGACGAUCAGAUACCGUCGUAGUCUUAACCAUAAACUAUGCCGACUAGGGAUCGGAUGAUGUUAAUUUUUAUGACUCUACG
Molecule: small RNA, 508 nt
Filed under: uncultured Glomus
Lineage: Eukaryota; Fungi; Glomeromycota; Glomeromycetes; Glomerales; Glomeraceae
Description: SSU rRNA
Rfam family: Eukaryotic small subunit ribosomal RNA
Source: RNAcentral